AUAGUGAUGAAAUAAUUUUAUUUUUAAAAUAUUUAAUUUGUAAUUUUAAAAUUAAUAUUUAAAAUUUAAAAAUUUAACUUUAAACUUAAAUUUAAAAAUAUAAAUAUUAAUUUUAAGAUUACAAAUUAAACAUUUUAAAAUUUUCAAAUAUAAAAUAUCAAAUUUAAAAUUUAAAUAAUUAAAAUUUAAAUUUAUCAAUUUAAAAUUUAAAAUUUAAAAAUAUUAAUAUUAAUUUUAAGGUUAUAAAUUAUAAAUUUUUAAAAUUUAUAAUUUAAAAUUUAUAAUGUAAAAUUAAAUAUUU
This 301-nucleotide long non-coding RNA is filed under the name Ananas comosus (pineapple). Its description in RNAcentral is "long non-coding RNA (ACOM_LNC034348)". Lineage: Eukaryota; Viridiplantae; Streptophyta; Magnoliopsida; Poales; Bromeliaceae. The record is from RNAcentral.